RNAcentral lists this unclassified non-coding RNA (517 nucleotides) under Hevea brasiliensis (rubber tree). Lineage: Eukaryota; Viridiplantae; Streptophyta; Magnoliopsida; Malpighiales; Euphorbiaceae. The record is from RNAcentral.
UAGCCGGUUACAUCUAUCUCUAACUUUGGAGAGAGAAUUUCUCUUAUUUCUUCCCGUUUCUCUUGAUGUCUCUUCUUUGUUGUACGACAGCCUUUCUCUGCCCCAUUCAAGCAGGGACGACUUUAUUCCCUAGUCCAAGAUGUGAGUUCCUUCUUUCUCACCUCCAAGUUGAGUUGUAUAUAGUGUGCAUGGUUUUUGCAUACAGGUUGGCCUUUGUCGAGAGGGACUCUGAAAAGACAUGCUUUGUGUGUGGUUGGUUCAAGACUUUGUAGCUGACUGACUGUCUCUAGGUUUGGCCGUGUAGGGUUUUCCUAUUGUUGUUGCAUUGUACCUCCGGGGUUCUUAGGCCAACCGUCUAGUGGCGGCUGACUCUUAAGGCUACAUGUGGAACUCGUAAUUUGGCAUUUGAUAUUGUGAUGUACUGUCAUUUUUACCUUAUUCAUGAUUUGUGUAUUAAAUUGUUCCUUUUCAAGACGUUAAGGGAAUCUUAUGAUCCGAUUGGGAAGCUUAGCCCUUG